Molecule: long non-coding RNA, 2568 nt
Organism: Sapajus apella (tufted capuchin)
Lineage: Eukaryota; Metazoa; Chordata; Mammalia; Primates; Cebidae
Exons: 3
Source: RefSeq, a predicted model, not a curated record
CCGACCUGGUUUUGACAUCAUGUAAGAGCAAUAUCUGGGAGGUGGGUGCUGCCUAAGUGUUGCGGCAGUGUUAUAAAGUUGAGUGCCAGCAAUGUAUUUGGAAGGUGAGCCCAGGGAAUACUGGUAAGAGAGUGGGGAAAGAAGAUUGAGAAGUAAAGGAAGACAAUAAAAAUGUACUUUUAAGCAUGUUGAUACUGUGGGCAACUGGGGCUCAAUCCCAGAUAAGAAACUUGGUGAGACACUGUAGGACAGGUUUCAGAGUCAUUCCCUCUGAGAGGUGAGGAGCCUGGAGAAGUUAUUCAUCAGCUCCCCAGGUAUCAUUGAUUUAUGGCUGUUUUCAGGGGCAUUAACUCUCUGACACUCCUUCCCUGCCCUGCUUUGUGCCUGGGCCUGUCCUCAAAGCCAGAUAAAAGCUCUCAGAGAGGUAGUUUUCUAGGCAAGUACCAACUUCUGCUUCAAUGGUCAUCCAUGCCUAUAUUUUAAAAAUGUGUUGGCUGGUAAAUUGUUUCCAUUUAAGAAAAUUUAAGAUGGGUUUAUAUCACUUUUAACCAAAUGAAUUCUUACUGACAUAUACAGCAGACAUAUUACUUACCUAUAUAUAAUAUAAAUAGUGAUAUAUGGUCACUACACAUCACUAUAAACUUAUUGUGGGAAAUAACAAGGUAAACAAGAUGCAAUGCCUAUGUUAACAGUAAUGAUUAACAUGAUUAAUACUAGUUACUGCUUAUUAAUAAUUCUUCUUUGAAUUUAGUGAUCACCUGCUAUAUAACAGACCCUAUGCUAAUAAUUUACAUGGUUCCCAAACCAGUUACAUUUAUUACGCCCCUAAUUUGAGCCAGAAUUUCUAAUUGGAUUGUUUUGUUUAAUCAUCAUAACCUGUGAGUUAGUUAUUGUUAUCCUUUUUCUGUUCUCUCUGCAAAGGAAACCAAAGCGUAUACAGAUUAAGAACUUGCAAGGUCACAAGUAAGUGGCAGAGCUGUGAUUCAAACCAUCACCACUAGAGAUGACAACUGAAGCGGAGAAAAAUUAAGCGGUUUGCUCAAGAUCACAUAACCAGAGAUUUUAAGUCAUAGGGAUGAAGUUGUGGGGUAUUGACUACUGGAGAAAUAUUGGUUACAGGUCAAUUGCUCCCAGAACUCUUACUGGUCAGAUACUCUGUAUUUUCUAUGCUUUAAUGGGGGAAGGCAGGGUCACCGCCAUUUUCAGGACUUUGGAAAUACCUUCAGAAUAUGGGAAUGGGAGAGGUAAUGUUUACUAAAUAUUUUUUGUUUUCUUACAUAUACUUGGGUUCACAACCUUACUUAAAAUAUGUACACAACACCUAAUAAAUUCUUGCUAAAUACAUAAUAAAAAGUAUAUAUAUAUGUAUAUGUGUAGGUAUAUCUGUGGCCUUCUCAAUAUAUAUUUGGUGUUCUGUUUAUUACUCCACUGUAUGUAUACCUCUCUGGUAUCCAAAACACAGGCUUAUAUGUAAAACAUACGUAACAACUGACUUACUGAAACUUCAUUACGCAAAUACAAAUUCUAUAUUAAAAUGGUAUGCGUCAAAAUAUUAUGUUAAAAUUCUUGCCUAUAUUUUUGGAACUCCUAGCUGAAUAAAAGGGUAUUCAGACCAAAAUAUUAUCUAUAGUGCUUUAUUUUUCUUCUACAGAAAAUAGGAAUAUUAUUUCAAAGAACACUUAUAGAAUAUUAUAGUAUAAAUGCAGUUUUGAGACAAUUUUAUUGAUUAUCUGAACCAUUUUAUGAGGUAUGAGCAAAUCUCACCUCUAGAUUUUCUAGGAGAAAGUUAUCAACUUGAAUUCACUUCUUCUGAUCCUAGGUGCUGAGCUUUGUUACUUCACAAUGCUCUGUUGACACUGCUAAGGGCAAGAAAUUAUUUAAGGUGAUAGAUUAUAGGCUGUUUCACUUUCUUUAGUGUAUGAUUUCUUACACUUUUGUAUAUGAUUAGGAGAGGCUGUUUGGAAAUCUUAAAGGAAAGUGUGUGUUUAGUUGGGGCAAAGUGAAGUAAAGAGAAAUGACAUGGACAGAUAGUCCACUCCGGAUAUUCCAGGUAUCCCACAAGGAGAUACACCGAGGGGACAAGGCCAGGCAAACGUUUGUGCUUGUUAGUUACCAUGAGGCUUUGUGUCCCUGUAUUCCUGUGAACCAGGCUGCACUUUGGCAACAAUCCCUUGCGCUUACAUUAUCCAAUGUGAGUGGCCAACCGAGACAGGACACUCCUUUCCCUUCCGCUCUGAGCUCAUACUCGCUGGCUUAAGCGUGAUAUUAAAAGAUCAGCUUGAUGUCCACACAGGCCCGGUCUAAGCAAGCUGCCCCAGGCCUUCUCAGGAAAGAGCAUUGCUGGGUCAAAGCGGACUCUGGCUGGUGUUACUUCCUCAAUCUAAGGAAGUAAAGUCCAGAGAAAUCAGCUCAUGGGAGAGCACAGGCAUACCUCAUUUUAUUGCAUGUUGCUUUAUAGUACUUCACAGAUAAUAGUGUUUUUUUUUUUUUACAAAUUGAAGGUUUGUGGCAACCCAUGGAGCAAGUCUCUUGGAAGCAUUUUUCCAACAGCAUGAGCUCACUAUUUCU